CCAGCAGCGCGGUAAUUCCAGCUCCAAUAGCGUAUAUUUAAGUUGUUGCAGUUAAAAAGCUCGUAGUUGGAUUUCGGGUGGGUGACAGCGGUCCGGCUCUGCUGUGUACUGCUGUUGCCUUCCUUACUGUCGGGGACGGGCUCCUGGGCUUCACUGUCCGGGACCCGGGUUCGACAUGGCUACUUUGAGUAAAUUAGAGUGUUCAAAGCAGGCGUUCGCCCUGAAUACAUUAGCAUGGAAUAGCACGAUAGGACUCUGGCCUAUUCUGCUGGUCUGUAGGACCGGAGUAAUGAUUAAGAGGGACAGUCGGGGGCAUUCGUAUUUCAUUGUCAGAGGUGAAAUUCUUGGAUUUAUGAAAGACGAACUUCUGCGAAAGCAUUUGCCAAGGAUGUUUUCAUUGAUCAAGAACGAAAGU
RNAcentral lists this ribosomal RNA (415 nucleotides) under uncultured eukaryote. RNAcentral's name for it is "SSU rRNA". It matches the Rfam family "Eukaryotic small subunit ribosomal RNA", at positions 567 to 990 of the family's 1831-position model. The record is from RNAcentral.